Molecule: long non-coding RNA, 795 nt
Organism: Sapajus apella (tufted capuchin)
Lineage: Eukaryota; Metazoa; Chordata; Mammalia; Primates; Cebidae
Exons: 3
Source: RefSeq, a predicted model, not a curated record
GUCUUUUGUAACCUAAGACAGAAUGGAUGCAUUCCAUCACUUUUCCAUGUUUUUUUCAUUAGAAGCAAUCACCCAGGUCUAGCCCACACUGGAGGGGAACAUUAUACAAAGGUGUGAAUGCUAGGGGCGGUUUUAGAAGGCUGCCCACCAUACUGCCAAACUGUUUUCCAAAUGGCUGUAUCAUUUUACACUCCCACCAGCAAUGGAUAAGGUUUCUAUUUUCUUCACAGCCUUGCCAAUGCUCUUUAUUGUGUCUUUUUCAUAGUAACCAUUCUAGCAGGUGUGAAGUCGAAUCUCAUUAUGGUUUUAAUUCACACUUCUCUAAUGACUGAUGAUAAUGAGUGUCUUUUUAUUGUUCUGUUGUCCAUUCAUAUAAUUUCCUUGGUGAAAUGUUAAUUCACAUCUUUUGUGCAUUUUUAAAAUUUUAUUUAUUACCUUAGAAAAGCUAAAGACUACUUUUGUGCAUUUUAAAAUUGGAUUAUUUGUCUUAUUAUUGAGUUGUAGGAUAUUUUCAUUUAUGAAUCAUGUUUUCAGUGUUAUAGCUAAGAAGUCUUUGCCUAUCUCAAGGUCAUGAACAUAUUAUGUGUCAGCUACUAUGUUACGCCUUUAUAUAUAUUAUUUUACUUGGUUUCAUUACUAUAACAGCCCUAUUAGAUAUAGAUAUUAUCAUUAUUGCAACACAAAUGAGAAAAUUCACAGAAGUCCAAUAACUUGCUGAGGUCACACAGCUAGUUAGUACAACUUGAACCUCGGUUCUGUCUUACUCCAAAGCCCAUGUUCUUUUAUCAGAAACUU